This 842-nucleotide ribosomal RNA is filed under the name uncultured organism. RNAcentral describes it as "bacterial SSU rRNA". It matches the Rfam family "Bacterial small subunit ribosomal RNA", at positions 40 to 847 of the family's 1533-position model. The record is from RNAcentral.
CGGCGGGCUUAGACAUGCGAGUCGAGCGAGAAGCACCUUCGGGUGUAAGUAAAGCAGCGAACGGGUGAGUAACACGUGAGUAACCUACCUUCCGGUGGGGGACAACACCUCGAAAGGGGUGCUAAUACCGCAUACGUCUUUUUGUUCUCCGGAACGAANAGGGAAAGGCAGCCUCUCCUUGGAAGCUGUCGCGGGAAGAGGGGCUCGCGGCCCAUUAGCUAGUUGGUGAGGUAACGGCUCACCAAGGCGACGAUGGGUAGCUGGUUUAAGAGGGAUUGAUUCAGCCACACCUGGGAACUGAGAACACGGCCCAAACUCCUAACGGGAGGCAGCAGUCGGGAAUAUUGGACAAUGGGGGAAACCCUGAUCCAGCCAUGCCGCGUGGGUGAUGGAGGCCUUCGGGUCGUAAAGCCCUGUCAGAGGGGAAGAAACGGACCGAAUGUUAAUAGCAUUCGACCUUGACGGUACCCUCAGAGGAAGCACCGGCCAACUACGUGCCAGCAGCCGCGGUAAUACGUAGGGUGCAAGCGUUGCUCGGAAUCACUGGGCGUAAAGGGCGUGUAGGCGGCUCGGUAAGCGGGAUGUGAAAGCCCUCGGCUCAACCGAGGAAGUGCAUUCCGAACUGUCGGGCUUGAGUUCGGGAGAGGGUGGUGGAAUUCCCGGUGGAACGGUGAAAUGUGUAGAUAUCGGAAGGAACAUCGGUGGCGAAGGCGGCCACCUGGCCCGAAACUGACGCUGAAACGCGAAAGCGUGGGGGAGCAAACAGGAUUAGAUACCCUGGUAGUCCCACGCCGUAAACGGUGAGCACUUGGGUUGUUGGAAGUAUUUACCCUUUCAGUGCC